GAUGAACGCUGACAGAACGCUUAACACAUGCAAGUCCACUUGAACUUCGGUUUGGGUGGCGGACGGGUGAGUAACGCGUAAAGAACUUGCCUCACAGAUAGGGACAACAUUUGGAAACGAAUGCUAAUACCUGAUAUUAUGAUUAUAUGGCAUCGUAUAAUUAUGAAAGCUAUAUGCGCUGUGAGAGAGCUUUGCGUCCCAUUAGCUAGUUGGAGAGGUAACGGCUCACCAAGGCGAUGAUGGGUAGCCGGCCUGAGAGGGUGAUCGGCCACAAGGGGACUGAGACACGGCCCUUACUCCUACGGGAGGCAGCAGUGGGGAAUAUUGGACAAUGGACCAAGAGUCUGAUCCAGCAAUUCUGUGUGCACGAUGAAGUUUUUCGGAAUGUAAAGUGCUUUCAGUUGGGAAGAAAAAAAUGACGGUACCAACAGAAGAAGUGACGGCUAAAUACGUG
This 454-nucleotide ribosomal RNA is filed under the name uncultured bacterium. RNAcentral's name for it is "partial 16S ribosomal RNA". It matches the Rfam family "Bacterial small subunit ribosomal RNA", at positions 28 to 507 of the family's 1533-position model. The record is from RNAcentral.